This 483-nucleotide ribosomal RNA is filed under the name uncultured bacterium. Its description in RNAcentral is "partial 16S ribosomal RNA". It matches the Rfam family "Bacterial small subunit ribosomal RNA", at positions 30 to 507 of the family's 1533-position model. The record is from RNAcentral.
UUGAACGCUGGCGGCAGGCCUAACACAUGCAAGUCGAGCGGAUGAAGGGAGCUUGCUCCUGGAUUCAGCGGCGGACGGGUGAGUAAUGCCUAGGAAUCUGCCUGGUAGUGGGGGAUAACGUCCGGAAACGGGCGCUAAUACCGCAUACGUCCUGAGGGAGAAAGUGGGGGAUCUUCGGACCUCACGCUAUCAGAUGAGCCUAGGUCGGAUUAGCUAGUUGGUGGGGUAAAGGCCUACCAAGGCGACGAUCCGUAACUGGUCUGAGAGGAUGAUCAGUCACACUGGAACUGAGACACGGUCCAGACUCCUACGGGAGGCAGCAGUGGGGAAUAUUGGACAAUGGGCGAAAGCCUGAUCCAGCCAUGCCGCGUGUGUGAAGAAGGUCUUCGGAUUGUAAAGCACUUUAAGUUGGGAGGAAGGGCAGUAAGUUAAUACCUUGCUGUUUUGACGUUAUCAACAGAAUAAGCACCGGCUAACUUCGUG